Molecule: ribosomal RNA, 497 nt
Filed under: uncultured bacterium
Lineage: Bacteria
Description: partial 16S ribosomal RNA
Rfam family: Bacterial small subunit ribosomal RNA
Source: RNAcentral
GAUGAACGCUGGCGGCGUGCCUAAUACAUGCAAGUCGAGCGAACAGACGAGGAGCUUGCUCCUCUGAUGUUAGCGGCGGUCGGGUGAGUAACACGUGGAUAACCUACCUAUAAGACUGGGAUAACUUCGGGAAACCGGAGCUAAUACCGGAUAACAUGUUGAACCGCAUGGUUCAACAGUGAAAGACGGUCUUGCUGUCACUUAUAGAUGGAUCCGCGCCGCAUUAGCUAGUUGGUAAGGUAACGGCUUACCAAGGCAACGAUGCGUAGCCGACCUGAGAGGGUGAUCGGCCACACUGGAACUGAGACACGGUCCAGACUCCUACGGGAGGCAGCAGUAGGGAAUCUUCCGCAAUGGGCGAAAGCCUGACGGAGCAACGCCGCGUGAGUGAAGAAGGUCUUCGGAUCGUAAAACUCUGUUAUUAGGGAAGAACAAAUGUGUAAGUAACUAUGCACGUCUUGACGGUACCUAAUCAGAAAGCCACGGCUAACUACGUG